Onychomys torridus (southern grasshopper mouse) is the source of this 236-nucleotide long non-coding RNA. RefSeq lists it as uncharacterized. NCBI's taxonomy places the organism in Eukaryota, Metazoa, Chordata, Mammalia, Rodentia, Cricetidae. The transcript has 2 exons. The record is from RefSeq and is a predicted model, not a curated record.
CACCGGGGGUGUGGCAGAGCAGGCAAAGGAAAACAACAUUUCUUUUUCUUGAAACGAGGCUGCCAGGAGGCACACUCAGGCUCAGCAGAGUCAAAGGCCAGCAGAGAUGCAGGAAGCCAAGAGAUCUCAUUAUACAACAUAACAGCCUUUGAUUCUGUGCUGAGCCAAAGAUAGUCCCAGCCACCAGCAAAAAGGCAAAGGUUUAGAGUCUCAUUAAAAGCACACCUACUGCUUCA